UUGCUCCUUCGUCUAGUGGUCCAGGACGAUACCCUUUCACGGUACAAACACGAGUUCAAAUCUCGUAGGAGUCAU
This 75-nucleotide transfer RNA is filed under the name compost metagenome. Its description in RNAcentral is "tRNA-Glu". It matches the Rfam family "tRNA". From Rfam's summary of the family: Transfer RNA (tRNA) molecules are approximately 80 nucleotides in length. The record is from RNAcentral.